This is a long non-coding RNA of Hippopotamus amphibius kiboko, 3500 nucleotides long. RefSeq lists it as uncharacterized. NCBI's taxonomy places the organism in Eukaryota, Metazoa, Chordata, Mammalia, Artiodactyla, Hippopotamidae. The transcript is spliced from 3 exons. The record is from RefSeq and is a predicted model, not a curated record.
GCCCGCGCUCAAAGGUUCAGCCCCUUUCAGUUGCUGAUAACCUUGUCACGUCUCCAGAUAAAAGCCAGCCUUGUCACCCCCGGGCACCUGGUUGAGAGGUAAUAAAACAGUAGCCUUAUCUUCUAAGGGUGGAGUUCGUCCAAUUUCAGCCCGAGGCCGGAUGCCUUCCACACAAAAGAGCUCCUGUCGACAUCUCAUUUACAAUCUCCCCCAGGACACAGACAGGACCAUUUCCAUAAACCCGGCUCAGAAACACCUAUUGUUCAAAAUCUUCAACGAGCCACAGGCUACCACCGCUCCCUAUUGUUUUGUAAAAGAAAAGAUUUAGAAGGAGCCAGAUUGGGACUCUGGAGGCUCUGAAAAGAGGAUGGAAAAAAGUCCCUUUGACCCGAUGCUGUCGGAGAACGUGCGUGAAGAAUAAAGUUAAUGGAUCUUCAUUUUUACAAGAAGUGCGUAAGCAACGCCGGUUCUUUUCCUGAGCUAGCGCUCGGGCAUUCUAACAGCGGUGCCAAGUUUGUAAAGAAGUUAACUCUUGCCAAUGGGUUUGCUACAUGAAAAGUCAAAGGCUAUACUUACCCUAUUCUCAGCCUUACAAAAGCUCUGAGGGCAGCCACAGCAAAGCGCCAGAUCCUAUUCUCUCCUCCGGAGGAUGACAGCAACCUCCUACCUCAGCGUUCCUCAGACUACGCGUUGUGACUUACUGACGGCUCAUGAAAGCAGUUGAGGUGGAUCAUGCAGUUACACCAUUGAAAAGUGAAAUAGAUUAGAAAACGUCAGAGUGCACCAAACAAAGGAAAAGUAAGUUUGGUUUCAGGACACUUGUUUCAGUGUGUGUGUCCCCAGAUCUGUGUACAUUCUGGGUUAACAGGUAAAAUGUAUCUUGUUUGGCAGAAGAGUUUGAGAAAUACUUUUCUAAUUGGUCUUACUGGGUCUGUCUUGUCCCUCCCUCCAAAUUGCUGUACACGCUCAGAGCAGCCGGGGGAGAUUCUGAACUUCUGAACAGAUCCAGCUGACAGCUCUGCCCUCAGGAUAAAGACCUGCAUCUAGGGCUUUGGAGAUUCUGAAUUACUUGGUUUCUCAUCUUUCAGGUCUCCAAACGUCACAUGCUCCCGACCACUUUUCCUGUUAGCUGUUCAGGCCAUCAAGUUCCCUGGCCUUUGCAGAUGGAAGUCCCCCGUGGGAACAUUUUGUUCUCUUUCUCCUUCAGGUUAUCAGCUGAGGUGUCACCUCUUCCAGGAAGGCUUCUGGAAGUCCCUCUAAAUGCCUCCUCUUUGUUCUCAGAAGAACACCUCACGUUUUAUCUGACAGAGCACUUACUGCAUGAUUAUCUUCUCAAUUCCUUACUGGACUUUAAGCUCCAAGGGGCAUCCAGUAUAUAUUUGUUGGGGGUAAAUAUUGUGCAUCAAGUAUGUCACAUCUUACACGGCUCACACUUCCUUCCUACAAACCCAUUUGGAUAGCCGUAAUAUAUUGUAUCUCUGUCUCUCAAAGCUUAAGUUGUCAUUCUUUUACACUGAAAGGUCUCUUGUUCAUUUGCUCUUCAAACACAGCCUAAUUAAUUUCCAAAUUCACUGGACUCCUGCUCUUACAAAUCAAAAUAAUAAAACUCAGGGAAAGCUGUUGUACCCUUGGCUGGUCACUCACCCUCUCUGAGCCUCAGAUAAUACAGAGGAGCAGAGCUCAAUGAUCUCUAAGAUCUCUUCCAUGCUGCCACUCUGAACCUCUAGCUUGAACUGCCAAAGGACCAGAGAGGUUAAGUGACUUUUCCAAGGUCUAACAGCCCUCUAGUGGCAGGAUACUGUUUGACUUUCUAUACAUUUUUAACAGCAAGCUGCAAACAAACAAAACAACCUUCUACCCAGAAACCGGUAGUGCCACUAACAAGUAUGCCUCAAAGAGAAUCAUAAGAUUAAAGAAUGAAAAAGGGGACUUAUAAAAACCAAAGCCAACAGCAUUCAUAACAGAUUCUUGCCCAGGCAGGUCCCAACAUUUUUAAAAACAAUCUUGCACUUAGAUGCAGAGAUGUUCAGAUUUCCUUUGAAAAACUGGAAGUGAAAAAUUAAAGAAUCUUGUGCAUCCUAACCCUUGUAGAGGCCCUUCUGCAGAGGCACAAAUGGACACACAGCCGUCCUUAAGGUGCCAAUUCGAGCAUCCCAGUGGCUUUUUUUCAGUGCUGAGGCCCCCAGGCCUUGACCUGAUGCCACCUGAGGACCAAAGCUGUAACUCACCAGGAUGAGACUUGGCCUCAGGUCCUGUACCCCAUCCCCCACCCCUCCCAGCCAGAACAGCCCUGCAGUCCCCGGUCUCAAGGACAGAUUUGUGUUACAUCCUUAGCUACAAAGUUUGGGGGUAAGAUAACCUGCUCAAUGAAAUAGAAAGUCACCAAACCAGAAAUAUACCCCUUUGGGGAAAAAACAGAAACAACAGUGAUACUGCUCGCCCCCCCAUAUUAUGUGCUAUGUUUUACUCUAAUGUAAGUCAGCGUGUACUUUUGUUUUAUUUGUUGCUUUUUCCCCUCUAAACCAACCAGCGGUAGCUUUCCUUCAUUUGACAGAAAAUGUAAGUCACUUUCUACUGCAGCUCUGUGUAAAACCACUAUGUGCUGUGAGGACCCCACCCAGCACCAAGCUGUUAUAGCCAAGUGGGCUUACAGAUGAUUUUUACUGUAUUCUUUGCACUUCUUGGAAUUUUCCAAUUAAAAAAAAAAUGGACACGUGUUACUAUUGUAAUCAUUACAAAAGUGCAAAUGUCAAAAUAAAGAUCAGAUACACUCUUAUUUCUUCACUGCUAUGAUGCUUGACUAAAUUAGUUUUAUUUUUACCAUAUGUGUUGCUGUGUAUUUUGCCUUUUUUUUAACCAUUUAUUUUUGAAGGAAAUUUUAUACAACUGCCACAUUUAAAAACAAAAAACAAAAACCUCUUGACACUGUUGAUAAUUUACUGUCUUUAAAAGCUUAAGGAAUACAUACCUGUAAGACACAGCCAAACACUGGCAUAUAACUCCCUUACCACCUGGCUGCAGUGUUAAUUAUGUUUCUCCUGACAUUUUCACACCUAACAACUUAUUUCCAGAAUACCAUCUUUUUUCAUGCCUUUAUGCCCGUGGCAGGCAUUGUUGUUUGCUUUCUCAUAACCACCUUCGUUGCUAACAGGGCCUUUCCAAGCAGCCUUGACUUUUCAGCGAGGUGAGCCUCUCCCUAGACUUGGAGGCUGAAUCUUCAUUGUUCUACAAGACAGGGAUGAGAAGGGAAUUCUGAUAUGAGUGCUUCGUGGAAAGUUAACCUCGCUUUUUAAAGUGACACAAGUCAGGGACAUCCCUUUUCUUCCUCUGGACAUUGUCAUCAGAGAAGGAUACCCUGAACUGUGGCUGCCAUCUGGGGACCACGAGGUGCCUCUACUCCAGAAGACAGAAGGAUGGCACGAAGCUGGUUUUUCUCCAUUCAUUGACUGCCCUACCUCUAGACUUGCUAUUAUGGGAGAAAAUAAAUGCCUUUACCAUCU